RNAcentral lists this ribosomal RNA (159 nucleotides) under uncultured Klebsiella sp. RNAcentral describes it as "partial 16S ribosomal RNA". It matches the Rfam family "Bacterial small subunit ribosomal RNA", at positions 357 to 507 of the family's 1533-position model. Lineage: Bacteria; Pseudomonadati; Pseudomonadota; Gammaproteobacteria; Enterobacterales; Enterobacteriaceae. The record is from RNAcentral.
GGGAAUAUUGCACAAUGGGCGCAAGCCUGAUGCAGCCAUGCCGCGUGUGUGAAGAAGGCCUUCGGGUUGUAAAGCACUUUCAGCGGGGAGGAAGGCGAUGAGGUUAAUAACCUCAUCGAUUGACGUUACCCUGCAGAAGAAGCACCGGCUAACUCCGUG